AAAUGCCUGGGAUGUUCGAGAACUCUUGCUAUUUAGAACCUACAUUUACUUUUAACGGGAUUCCUAUAUGAACUGUUGGAUGUCAGGCCGCCUCGUAUCAGCGGAAGGCAGAAGGCAGGCUGCGGUUACCCACCUAGCUUUAGCUAGGAGUCUAAAUUGCAGGAAACGGCAUUUUGGGUUUUUG
RNAcentral lists this non-coding RNA (184 nucleotides) under Agathobacter sp. RNAcentral describes it as "6S RNA". It matches the Rfam family "6S / SsrS RNA". Rfam says of the family: E. coli 6S RNA was the first non coding RNA to be sequenced, but its function was unknown until recently. It consists of 184 nucleotides that fold into an extended hairpin structure with a large single-stranded internal bulge. The 6S RNA specifically associates with RNA polymerase holoenzyme containing the sigma70 specificity factor. Lineage: Bacteria; Bacillati; Bacillota; Clostridia; Lachnospirales; Lachnospiraceae. The record is from RNAcentral.